Molecule: long non-coding RNA, 18115 nt
Filed under: Triticum aestivum (bread wheat)
Lineage: Eukaryota; Viridiplantae; Streptophyta; Magnoliopsida; Poales; Poaceae
Description: long non-coding RNA (TAES_LNC025399)
Source: RNAcentral
CAAGUUUUUCAGGGAACUGUGCAGCAAAACUCUUAACAUGGAUGUGUUGGCUGAAAUGAAGAAAGAAAUCCCUAUAAUUUUGUGCAAGCUUGAGAAAAUUUUCCCUCCUGCUUUCUUUGAUGUGAUGGUGCACCUUGCCGUACAUUUACCCGAAGAGGCAUUACUCCGAGGUCCCGUACAAUAUGGGUGGAUGUACCCAGUUGAAAGGAGGUUGUAUACUUUAAAGAGGUAUGUGAGGAAUAGGGCAAGACCAGAAGGUUCAAUUGCUGAGGCAUAUAUUGCCGAUGAAUGCCUGACAUUUUGCUCCAAGUACAUGGAUGAUUUCGAAACCAUAUCUUAUCAGAAACCAAGCAAUGUAGGUUAUUCAUAUGAAGAAGCCUAUGGUGUUGAUGUUUUUGGACAUGGAGUAAAUUUUACUUUAGGAUAUGAAUAUCAAUAUGUAUAUGACAAAAAAAAAUUGAUCAAAUGAUGUGGUGUGUGUUGAACAAUUGUGGUCAAGCUCAGAAAUAUAUCGAGUAUGUUCCCACUUCUGAACUUGCGUAUGUUGCAUUUUUGUGGUACACAUGUAUUCUAUUGACUAAUAUGUUUUAUCCUAUUUUACAGAAUGUUCAGAGAUGAGUUAAAUAGAAAACGGGUGCUAAACAUUGAGAAAGAGCUUCAGAAAGAAUUCCAGACAUGGUUCAAGAACUAUGUUAGUUUUCAUUCACAUCUAGUUAUAAUAUUUGGUUGUUAGACUUCACUACAGUUUCUAAUGUAUGAAUUUGUGUGUUGUAGAUCAUGAGGUUGCGGGAUGAACAUAGCGAAGAAAUAGAUGAAGAUCUCUUUUCCUUGGCAUGUGAACCAGAUCGGAGAGUCAGAAAAUACUCACCGUGCAUAGUGAAUGGUAUUAGAUAUAGCACUGUCGACCGUGAUAGCAACAAGAGAACACAGAACAGUGGAGUCAUGGCUGAAGGUGAACAUGCCAGUAAGGUCAUAGAUUUUUAUGGAACCUUGAAAGAGAUCAUCCAGUUGGACUAUAACUCCAACGAUAACUUGGACGGCAGGUCAGUUAUUUUGUUUAAAUGUGACUGGUUUAAACUUGAUGGAAAGAAGGAGCUAAAAAAUGACCGGUUUUUCAAAAGCAUCAAUGUUGAAAGUUUAUGGUACAAGGAUGAUUCUCUUAUUCUGGCUACUCAGGCAAGAAAAAUCUUUUAUUUGCCAGACACGAAGUAUGGGAAAAAUUGGCAAGUUGUGCAAACAUUUGACCAUAGGCAUCUCUUUAAUAUUAGUGAAACUGAGGGUGCACCUUUUACUGGUCUUGCAUAUCAAGAGGAGGAGUGUUGUGAUGAGGAAGGUAUGAGAACGUCGGUUUCUGAACAUACAUCUGAGAAGCCUUUGCAUAGAGACAAUGAGCAAGGCAUUAUUUUUGAAGCUGAUGUAAUUGCACGCUUGAUGAAAGAAAAGAACACAGAAGUGUAUGAAGGUGGCAAUGAAGAUGAAGAUGAUACAGGAAUGGAGUAUUGCAGCAAAGACGAAGGAGGCGGCAUGAUGGAUGUUGACAGCGAUGAUGAGUAGAUGAUUUACGUUGAUUUUGUGUCAGAUUUUGUGCACUUCCGUUUUUAUCGAAAGAUGUUGUGUCACUUUUGUUUUACUGAAAGAUGUUGUGUCACUUUGCAAAACCUGCAUGAUGUGAAUUUUGUUAUCUAAAUGUUUCUGUUGGGAGAAUUUUUUCUGUGUAUAUUUGAAUCCCUUAUGUGGUUUCUUCAGUGCAUACAGUAUGUGUAUCUGAAUGUGUGUUGUGCACAUCUGAAUGUGUGUUGUGCUGAACUACAGCAAUGCACCAAGUCAGACACCUUGUCUGGUUAGGCGCGCGAGCAGCCGAGAGCAACACACCAAGUAAUUAACUUCCCAUGUUGACCCAACAUGGGCAAGAUACAAACUGUGGCGCAUUGGCAACAGGCUGUUUCUCCCACUCGGAAGGCCAGGGAUCGAAUCCUGCUACCAACGUUGUUCCUCACUCAUUUUUCUCACCCACCUCAUCCCCGUGUAUGUCUUCAUGGGCCGGCCCGCGGGGCGUGGCAUCCCUGUUUUUUUUUCAUUUCGUUUUUGUCUUUUCUUUUCUUAUUUCUGUUUUUUAUUUUUUUUGAAUUAAUUUGAUAUUGAAUUUUUUUAAAAUGUUGUGACUUUUCAAAAAAAUGUCAUAAAAUAUCUACUGAUUUUAAAAAUGUUCGAAAAACAUAAAAAUUUCAUGGUUUCAAAAAAUGUCGGUAAUUUUACAAAAAAAUUGGCAAAUUAUAAAAAAUCACAAUUUGGAAAACAAUUGUUGGGAAAUAAAACCAUGUUCCUGAUUUUGAAAAAAUGAUCAUGUAUACAAAACAUAUUCAUGAAUCUAAAAAAAUAUCCAUGAAAUUUUUGAAAAUUCUCAAAAAAAAACAACUUUUCUGUGAAUUUCAAUUUUUUCCUAAUUUAAAAAAACAUCGAUUCAAAAAAAAUGUCAAUUAAAAAAACUUUUCGCUGUUUCAAAAGUCUUUUAUGUCUAGGUUUUGAUCAUUUUUUGAAAGUCAUGCAAGGUGUCGUCACACCAAUCCGAAGUGCCAAGGCGUGAUCAAGCGAUUCUCGUCUUCUUUUUCGAUGUGGGCCAUAGUAGCCGAUGAUACACGCCAAUCCUAAUUAUCUUCAUAUCUACACAAGCAUCUUUGGACAAUCAAAUAUUUCCUAAUUAAUCUCAACUAUUUUUAGUUUUGAAUGGCACAAACCGCACAGAUUUGAACAAAUUAAAGAGCAAGAGAUGAACUAAAGUAGUAAGGAUUAAUUGUGCACCUAUGCAGCCAUGGAGGAUCUCGUCUAAUCCUCUUCUAGUUUCUGAUUGGAAACUGAAGGAAAUUCGCCCUGGCGGCGAUAGGUGGAGACUCGAGCAUAGAACGGGUAGAAGGAUCUCCUCGUGUUGUUGCCGCUCAUCUGCGCGUCCGGUCUGCCGGCAAGUGGCUGCCUGUCCUGGCGUCCCCUUCCCUUCUGCCCUUCUCGAUGACGGCGCGAUGGAGACUCGAAUAGAUCAGCAGGCCCCUUGCCGCUGCAUGCUUUGGUUUAGAUCAAAAAGCAGCUAAACGAAGAGGUUAGCGAUUUUGUUUUUAGAAAUAGGAGGUUAGCGAUAUCUGCGUGACUACGUGCGUUAUGGAAGCCAGAAAAAUCAGUGAUCAACUCAUCCACAUCAAGGUACCACAGCGGGUGACACAGCGACAACCACCUCUCCAUACUACAGCCUUCAAGUGUUGGGACACCCCAGUAUCCUCACCACCUUUUUGUGUUCCGCCUAAGUAUGCAAGGUGUCAUCACACCAUUCUGAAGUGCCAAGGCAUAAUCAAGUCGAUUCUCAUCUUCUUUUUCGACACGGGCCAUAGGAGUCGACGAUCCAAGAUUGUACAUGUCUCCUUUUGUGUGGUGAGGAUGCCGGUGUCAUGGCGAUCGAUUUGAGAAGGCGUGUCGGUAAAUAACUUCAUUGGAGUUGGCUAAUAAAUAGCAUGUAAAGAAACAUAUGCUUUACCAAUUCUAGUAACAAAUAAAAUGCUAGUGCUAUAUAUAUAUAUAUAUAUAUAUAUAUAUAUAUAUAUAUAUAUAUCCUUUGUAAUGUUCUAAAUAUCAUUUGGCGGCAAGAAUACCCGGGCACAUGUACAAUUUUAGCUCCAACGGCGCCAAGCCAAAAAGUCCACCAUCGUAAAUUGACCGAAUGACCCAUCAAGGUGUUUGCCGAUUGCACAGAACCAUUCUUCCACCAGGUGCCAUCCGAAGGGCAUGUUAGUAAUUUGACACACAAGAAAUACUUAAUCCCCACCGCACGCCCACCCCUACCCCACAGUUCGCCAAAUCCGCUCCCCAUUCCCCUUUCGCCUCCACUGCCGCCGGCGACCGCUUCACCUCCUCCACCGCAGGCCACCGCUUCACCUCCUCCACCGCCGGCCACGACUGUCCUUCCUCUUCCACAUCCACGGUCAGUCACGACCCCACCCCCACUGUCGGCCAAGAACCCCCUCCUCCCCACCAUCCGCCUCCACCGAACCCUAGAACACGCCGUCACCUCCUCCACCGGNNNNNNNNNNNNNNNNNNNNNNNNNNNNNNNNNNNNNNNNNNNNNNNNNNNNNNNNNNNNNNNNNNNNNNNNNNNNNNNNNNNNNNNNNNNNNNNNNNNNNNNNNNNNNNNNNNNNNNNNNNNNNNNNNNNNNNNNNNNNNNNNNNNNNNNNNNNNNNNNNNNNNNNNNNNNNNNNNNNNNNNNNNNNNNNNNNNNNNNNNNNNNNNNNNNNNNNNNNNNNNNNNNNNNNNNNNNNNNNNNNNNNNNNNNNNNNNNNNNNNNNNNNNNNNNNNNNNNNNNNNNNNNNNNNNNNNNNNNNNNNNNNNNNNNNNNNNNNCCGAACCCUAGAACACGCCGUCACCUCCUCCACAGCCGAGCAAGACUCCCUCUUCCGCAUCCACCGCAGGUCACCACCCCAUCCGACUAUCGGCCAAGACUCCCCCUCCCCCCUCACCUUCCACUCCACCGAACCCUAGAACCCCGACCAUGGGGAAGAAGACGGCAGGGAAGAAACACCGAGGAGGCAAGACAGCAGUAGCAGGUAUAACCCCUCCCCAUGCCUUUAAUAUUCUCUGUUUUUGCUUGUGAUUCUGGUUCUAAUACUGUACUGCUAGUUUUCUGGUUCUAGUAAAUACUGCAAUGGCCAAAUCGAUAGUGCUUCUGGUUCUGGCCAAAUUGAUAGUGCUUGAUUUAAAUACACACUGAACAUUUUUAUGGUGCUAGUGCUUCUGGCCAAAUUGGUAGCGCUUGAUUUAAAUUGAUAGUGCUUCUGGUUCUAAUACAAUAUACAAAUUGAUAGUGCUUCUGGUUCUACUAAAUACUGCAAUGGCCAAAUGCCUCUGGGUUUUGCCAAUACUGAAGAAUACCAAAGUAUUUGUAUAGUGUUGUAUUUCUUGCCCACAAGUUCUAAUACUGUGGUUUCUUAAUAGUAUGGUUUUCUAAAUAUUGUGCAUCCAAACACAGCCGAAUAAGAUCCUUGUGCUUCCAAGUGUAGAUUUGGUUCCCGUAUUGAUGCAAACUCAAUAAAAAACAGUAAUUUGUUAUUACUCUUAUGCACAUAGUAAUUCGUGUUUACAUCUGUACUCGUCUUAGAAUGACCACUACAUCCUAUGGAAGUGUCACACCUCAAAAAGUUCAUGAGGAACAAUGCAAGGCUGCAAUCACUUGGACUACCUACAUUAUCAACAUUGUUUGCAAACAAAGCUGUCAUUUCACCUGAAAAAGAAAGCCCGAGCAUACUUGUGAUGAAUCUGAAGCUGAGUACCAUCCUAACGAGGAGGAUACCAGUGAAGGAGACUUGUCUGAUGAUAGUUUAAUAGAUGAGAGGGAAGUACUGCAAGACUUAAAGUCCACACCAUCUCCUAGCUCAAAGUUGAAGGUGCUAAAAUCCUUCGACUAGUCAUUCCUAGAUAUGUUGCUUGUUUGCUAUUGCAGCAGAAUUUUUGUUACACUUUGUUGAUUUAACCAUGUUUUCAUUUCUAUCAGGGGUUGAACGACUGUAAGAAGACCAGCGAGGAAACUAAUAAGAAAAUAUCUACUGCCAUGGCCCCUGGUGGAAUCAAGCCUCGGCCUCCUAAAAGAAUUCAUGCGGAGCUUCCAACGAAUGCGUGAGUCACAAGGUCAAACAAAAUACUAUUACUAGAUGCUGAUGCAAGUCCUCAAAGUGAAGGGGUGUCAGAUCCUAAACAUCAAACACCAAUUGCAAUCCAUAAGCCAACUGUUUCUGUGCCUGAAGCUGAAGAAACCGUUCCCAACUUUGAUAACCGCACACAUGGUGUUGAAGGCAAGUUGUACUAUCAUUCUAAUGUUCUGUCUUAUGGUUCAUUAGCCCUAUUCAUUAACUUUGAUUGCAAGAUGAGCAUACUCUCACUAGAUGUAUUCUUUUUAAUAGAUGGCGCCCGUGCCCAUUCUGAUGAUGACUACUGGAUGAGCAAUGGAUCUGAUCUCAUUGCCCGUCAUGAUGAUGGCAACCAUAUGGACUUCAAAACUGGUGGUAGUGCCGAACCUUGUCAGCAAACACAAUCUGAACCUGACAAUGACACUCAAGGCAUGUUAUAAAAUCCAAAAUAUUUCUAGCAUGUUAUUUGAGUUACAAUAGUGGUGCUUUUUGUUAAACUGAACUAAUAAUUGGUGGAGCUUAAAACAGUUCUCUAAAAUUAGACUGAAGUUAUGAGCUUAAUUCAUCUUGUUCCAGUUACUGAUUUUGAAAGAUGUUCUCCAUUUAUCAGUGCACUUUUCUACUUCCUAAUUUUCAUUGAUAUAUGUAUACAUUCUGAUUUACCUUCUUGAAGGGCCACGAUCCUAUGAGGAGACAAGGGAAAGAGGGGUCAAUAUUGGAAAAGGCCUGGAAAGGAUCAGUCGACGUCGGGGGGGGGGCAAGCUGCUUGUCAUUCCAGAAGGGAGGUUAAGGCCGGAGACACCUCUUCUUGCUACAAAGUUUGCAACCGAAUGCAAUGUCACAGUCAGAGGCCAUGUGCCCGUGUUUAAACGCUGGAAGGAUUACAAGGACCCAGGCGGAAAUGUCCGAGAAGGGAUCUUCCAGAACUUUGUAGGAAAAGUUGGUGUAAGUACAUGAUCCAACCCUUUCUCAGUCAAAUGGCUAGUAACCUGUCAAUUUUGUGCUAUUUUUAUUAUGUGCAAUCAUGAUUCUUACACAUGUUCUUUCAUCUGACUAGAACAAAUUUGAGAUGGACGUAAAAGCUGUGCCCGUUAGGAAGGCUUGUACGCAAAUGCUGAAAGGUGCAAUUCGCCAACAACGAUACAGGCUCAAGCAGAAGUAUUUUGAUCCUUUCCCACUCAAUUUGGUGACGGAAACUUCUCCAGUCUGCUCGAUGACUGAUGACCAGUGGAAUGAGCUUGUUGAAAGCUGGAAGGAUCCCCAAAAAUGGUACAUUUCUUCUUGGAGACAAAUAUUAUUUUGUCGUUGCCAACCACCCUUAUUAUUGUUUCUUGUACUUCAGUACUGAACGCAACACUCCACUACAUCCUGUAUUAGCUAGUAGCAUCAAAAUUGGAUGGUUCUAACCCAUUACUCAUGAGUCAGAGGUCCUGCAAGUUACCAGACUUACAUUUAGGAAAUAAUAAAAUUCAAUAUAUAUGUAAAACAAAAACAUUAUGACUUAUUCACUUCUUUGUGUGCUUGUCAAUUAGCAUUGUCAUCCAUAUAUUGAUUAUGAGAACUCAAUGUAUGAUCGAAAUGUCUACUCUGAUGUAAUACACUACCAUAAAGCUCCUGAUCUGGAAGUACUUGAAAACAACCUUUUGUACACUAUAGCUCAUAUUUUAGCAUGAGGUUGUCUGUCAAAAGAUCAAUCAAUUAAAGUUGCAAUGUUAUUGUGUGAACAUCAUGAACCUCUGAAAUGUCGGGGUGUGUAUAUAAGAUGAAUCCUUCUCGAAUGUUUAUUUGUUUCCAUAAUAACUCUUGAAUAAAUGCAUUUAGCUAACCAAAUCACUGAUCCAUGCAGAAGAUAUGUGGAAUUAACAAAAAUAACCGUGCUCAAGUCAAGUUUCACCACACUACUGGUUCGCGCAGCUAGCCCGUGCACUGUGAUAACCUGCUAAGUCAAACAUGUGUCUGGGGAUGUGCAAAUAGUUUAUGUGACAGUAACCGGCAAUUGUUUUUAUGAGAUUUUUCUGCCUGGUCUUCAUAAAUGUUAUUGACCAUAAGUUCAUGUAAACCUCACCAUUGCAGCCAAUACAUGUCUUUUGCACUUAAGUACAUUAAGUACGAUAGUUUCUUAGUUUGCUAGCAGUAAUGAAUAUAACUGCUCCCUUGCCUACAGCCAAUACAUGUCUUUUGCACUUAAUGGUAUCUCAUCAUGAAUAAAUGAAUAAAGUAUAGUUCAAUAUUGGUACUAUACAUGUUGUUUCUUCACAAAUGUUAGCUUGAUGCCUAUAUGUUGUUUUCAGGGAGACAAAUACAAGGAGAAAGAACCCACUGCAGUGGAUUUAUUCAAAGAGUGCCACUACAGCAGCAAAAAGAAAGGCUACACACCGAUGCUGUGCAAGCUGCAAUUGUAAGUCAGCUUUCAAAGAUCACCAACCAUCAAAAUGUUAACCUUUUGCCAUAGAUCCAGUAGUAGGAUAAUAAGUAAUUGCCAAAUAUACUUGUUAUUUUUUGUCAUUGUGCUAAAAUACUAGCUGUGUUCUGUCCUUGUGCUAUAAUACUUGCCACCUUUUGUCCUUGUGUAAAGUACUUGCUAUUUUAUGUCCUUGUGCUAAAAUACUUGUUGUCCUUGGCCUACAGUACUUGCACCAUACAUGUAGUGACUAGAGUAUAAUUACAUGUCUACAUCUGUACAUGGAAAUGUGGCAUACAUAUAGGCAAAACCUAUUUGUCUCAUGUUUUGCUCACCGUGUUCAUUUGCUUGCAUGGCUAGGAUGAAAUGGAAGAGAAAGCUACUCAACCUACAAAAGAUGGCCAACAAUCCAACUCUGCAACCAAGGCUGUGGCUGAAGUUCUUACUAAGCACACUAAGAAGCCAAUGUUUCUUAAGCAUGUGGGGGUCCAGCACGUGCAUGAGAGAUCCAGUCGUAGCGACCGUAAGGCAGAACAGGAAGCGCAGAAGAGGGGAAAUGCUGAGCUUCGGGCCCUUGUUGAAACCUUGAACAAUAAGUUACAGGAAUCAGAAGAAGCAAGGAUCAGGCAAGAAGAAGAAAGGACCAAGUAAGAAGAGGAGAACAGGAAAAAGCAAGCUGAGCUGGAAGCUAAAUUAGACUUUUUACUAAAUCAGAUUCAUCCAAGAUAAGCUCAUGAGUAAGUUGUUUGUCCAAGCAAAAUUCUGCUAGAAGCUAUGAAUGUGGUGGAACCUGCCUUCUGCUAUAUGUUAUUUUGUAGUGCAAACUGCUUAUGAUGUUGCUGGAUGCAAACUAAGUAUUUUGCUGGCAGAUGGAAGUUGUGUUGGAUGUGUUAUGUUUGAUGGUUAGCAGAUUUGGACAUGGAAGUUUAUUUAUGUUGGAUCAGUACUUAUCUUACUGUAAUGCUGGAGUUUAAUUUGUGUUUGUGAUGAUGUGCAUCUGUUCUGUCUAUUUUACAUUGUUGUUGUACCAAAAGAAAGUUCUUCAUUGUGGUGGACCAAAAUUUGUUUUUGAGCAUUAAUGGGCUAGAUUUGGUACAGUGUAAAUGGACUGAGAAACAGCAUACUGGACCAUCAGAAACAGGCUAACAGAUAGAAGUUUUUUUAAAAUAUGGGCCCGACAAAAAUUAACGGGCCAAACAAUCCGGUAUGUCUUAUUAUUUUCCGGAUAUUCGACCUGGCUCGACAAAUUAACUGGGCCAAAAUUAUAGGCCCAAAUGGUAGAGGCCCAGAUGAAGCCACAUCAGAUCCACGUGGAUGCCACGCAAUAAAUCAUGGCAUGCAGAUCGGUGACGGAUCUGUCCGUCACCGAAACCCGGGACUGGGGCAGGCCGAGCGGGGCCGGGGGCCUGAUCAGUGACGGCUAAGCAUUUCUGUCACGGAGUGUGCUGGUGGCAAAUUAUGACGCGUGAUACAUGACAGAUUCUUAAUCCGUCACGGAGGACAAGGCCUGAUGGUUUUGUACACUGUUGUGACGGUUUAUAUCUAUCACGGAGGGCCUCUACAUCAACUCCAUGGCCCCUCCGAUGAUGUGUGAAUAGUUUACCUCAGACCUUCGAGUCCAUAGUUAUUAGCUAGAUGGCUUCUUCUCUCUCUUUGGAUCCCAAUACAAAGUUCUACUCGAUUCUCUUGGAGAUCUAUUCGAUGUAAUCUUCUUUUGCGGUGUGUUUGUCGAGAUCCGAUGAAUUGUGGGUUUAUGAUCAAGAUUAUCUAUGAACAGUAUUUGAAUCUUCUCUGAAUUAUUUUAUGUAUGAUUGGUUAUCUUUGCAAGUCUCUUCGAAUUAUCAGUUUGGUUUGGCCUACUAGAUUGAUCUUUCUUGCAAUGGGAGAAGUGCCUAGCUUUGGGUUCAAUCUUGCGGUGCUCGAUCCCAGUGACAGUAAGGGAAAUGACACGUAUUGUAUUGUUGCCAUCGAUUGAUAAAAAGAUGGGGUUUAUAUCAUAUUGCAUGAGUUUAUCCCUCUACAUCAUGUCAUUUUGCUUAAAGCGUUACUCUGUUCUUAUGAACUUAAUACUCUAGAUGCAUGCUGGAUAGCGGUCGAUGUGUGGAGUAAUAGUAGAAUAUGCACGCAGGAGUCGGUCUACUUGUCACGGAUGUGAUGCCUAUAUACAUGAUCAUACCUAGUAGUAUCAUAAUUAUUCGCUUUUCUAUCAAUUGCUCGACAGUAAUUUGUUCACCCACCGUAAUACUUAUGCUAUCUUGAGAGAAGCCACUAGUGAAACCUAUGGCCCUCGGGUCUAUUCUCCAUCAUACAAGUUUCCAAUCUAUUUUAUUUUGCAAUCUUUACUUUCAAUCUAUAUCAUAAAAAUACCAAAAAUAUUUAUCUUAUUAUUAUUAUAUCUAUCAGAUCUCACUCUUGCAAGUGGCCGAGAAGGGAUUAACAACCCCUUUAUCGCGUUGGUUGCGAGGUUCUUAUUUUUGUGUAGGUACGAGGUGACUCGCGCGUGUCUCCUACUGGAUUGAUACCUUGGUUCUAAAAAACUGAGGGAAAUACUUACGCUGCUUUGCUGCAUCACCCUUUCCUCUUCAAGGGAAAACCAACGCAUGCUCAAGAGGUAGCAAGAAGGAUUUCUGGCGCCGUUGCCAUGGAGAUCUACGCCAAGUCAAGACAUACCAAGUACCCAUCACAACUCUUAUCCUUCACAUUACAUUAUUUGCCAUUUGCCUCUCGUUUUCCUCUCCCCCACUUCACCGUUGCCGUUUUAUGCACCCUCUUUUCCUUUCGCCCUUUGUUUCCGUUCGCUUUUUCCUCGCUUGUUUGCUUAUGUGUUGGAUUGCUUGCUUGUCAUGAUGGCUCAAGGUAAUACUAAAUUGUGUGACUUUGCCAAUACCAACAAUAAUGAUUUUAUUAGCACUCCGAUUGCUCCCCAUACCGAUGCUGAAUGUUGUGAGAUUAAUACUGCUUUGCUGAAUCUUGUCAUGAAAGAUCUGUUUUCUGGCCUUCCUAGCGAAGAUGCCGCUACCCAUCUAAACAACUUUGUUGAUUUGUGUGAUAUGCAAAAGAAGAAAGAUGUGGAUAAUGAUAUUGUUAAACUUAAGCUAUUUUCGUUUUCACUUAGAGAUCGUGCUAAAGCUUGGUUUUCGUCUUUGCCUAAAAAUAGUAUUGAUUCAUGGAAUAAGUGCAAAGAUGCUUUUAUCUCUAAGUAUUUUCCUCCCGCUAAGAUCAUCUCUCUUAGAAAUGAUAUUAUGAAUUUUAAACAACUUGAUCAUGAGCAUGUUGCACAAUCUUGGGAGAGGGUGAAAUUGAUGAUACGUAAUUGCCCUACACAUGGAUUGAAUUUAUGGAUGAUUAUACAAUUUUUUUAUGCCGGAUUGAAUUUUGCUUCUUGAAAGCGUUUAGAUUUGGCCUCGGGAGGCACUUUUAUGGAAAUCACUUUAGGAGAAGCUACUAAACUCCUAGAUAAUAUUAUGGUUAAUUAUUCUCAAUGGCACACUGAAAGAUCUACUAGUAAAAAGGUGCAUGCAAUUGAAGAGAUUAAUGUUUUGAGUGGAAAGAUGGAUGAACUUAUCAAAUUGUUUGCUAAUAAGAGUGCUCCUACUAAUCCUAAUUAUAUGUCUUUGUCUACUUUGAUUGAGAAUAAUAAUGAAUCUAUGGAUGUGAAAUUUGUCGGUAGGAACAAUUUUUUUAACAACGUGUAUAGAGGUAAUUUUAAUCCUAGGCCGUUUCCUAGUAAUUUCUCUAAUAAUUAUGGUAAUUCCUACAACAAUUCUUAUGGAAAUUAUAAUAAGACGCCCUCUGAUUUUGAAUAUAAUAUUAAAGAAUUUAUUAGUUCACAAAAGAGUUUCAAUGCUUUGAUUGAAGAAAAAUUGUCUAAGAUUGAUGAGUUGGCUAGGAACGUGGAUAGAAUUUCUCUUGAUGUUGAUUCUUUGAUGCUUAGAUCUAUCCACCUAAGCAUUAUAUUAAGGAGUCUCUCAAAGCCAUGAGAAUUUCCAUUGAUGAGUGCAAAGAAAGAACCGCUAGGAUGCGUGCUAAGAAAGAUUGCUUUGUGUAAGCGUGUUCUUCUAGUUUUCAUGAUAAUAAUGAUGAAGAUCUAAAAGUGAUUGAUGUGUCCCCUAUUAAAUCCUUGUUUUUCAAUAUGAAUCUUGAUAAUGAUGGGACUGGAGAUGAGUCAACUUUAGUCAGAAGGCGUCCCAAAAAUUCGGAGUUUUUAGAUCUUGAUGCAAAAAUUGGUAAAAGUGGGAUUGAAGAGGUUAAAACUUUAAAUAGCAAUGAACCCACUAUCUUGGAUUUCAAGGAAUUUAAUUAUGAUAAUUGCUCUUUGAUAGAUUGUAUUUCCUUGUUGCAAUCCCUGCUAAAUUCUCCUCAUGCUUAUAGUCAAAAUAAAGCUUUUACUAAACAUAUUGUUGAUGCUUUGAGGCAAUCUUAUGAAUAAAAACUUGAGUUGGAAGUUUCGAUCCCUAGAAAACUUUAUGAUGAGUGGGAACCUACAAUUAAAAUUAAAAUUAAAUAUCAUGAAUGCUAUGCUUUGUGUGAUUUGGGUGCUAGUGUUUCGACGAUCCCAAAAACUUUGUGUGAUUUGCUAGGUUUCCGUGAAUUUGAUGAUUGUUCUUUAAACUUGCACCUUGCGGAUUCCACUAUUAAGAAACCUAAGGGAAAAAUUAAUGAUGUUAUUAUUGUUGCAAAUAGGAAUUAUGUUCCCAUAGAUUCCAUUGUUCUUGAUAUAGAUUGCAAUCCUUCAUGUCCUAUUAUUCUUGGUAGACCUUUCCUUAGAAACGAUUGGUGCAAUUAUUGAUAUGAAGGAAGGGAAUGUUAGAUUCCAAUUUCCGUUAAGGAAAGGCAUGGAACACUUACCUAGAAAUAAAAUUAAAUUACCAUAUGAAUCUAUUCUGAGAGCCACUUAUGGAUUGCCUACCAAAGAUGGCAAUACCUAGAUCUAUCCUCGCUUUUAUGCCUAGCUAGGGGCGUUAAACGAUAGCGCUUGUUGGGAAGCAACCCAAUUUUAUUUUUAUUCCUUGCUUUUUUUUCCUGUUUAGUAAUAAAUAAUUUAUCUUGCCUCUUUUUUGGUUGUGUCUCUUGUGUUUAAUUAGUGUUUGUGCCAAGUAGAACCGUUGGGAAGACUUGGGGAAAGUCUUUUUGAUCUUGCUGUAAAAAACAGAAAGUUUGGCGCUCACGAGAAUUGCUGCCAUUUUUAUUGGAGAGUGCUAUUUAGUUAAUUCUUUUUUCAGAUGAUUAAUAGAUAAAUUCCUAACGUCCAUCAAUUUAUUUUAGAAUUUUUUGGGUUCCAGAAGUUUGCGUUAGUUAUAGAUCACUAUAGACUGUUCUGUUUUUGACAGAUUCUGUUUUUCGUGUGUUGUUUGCUUAUUUUGAUGAAUCUAGUAAUGGAGUUUAUAAACCAUAGAAAAGUUGGAAUACAGUAGGUUUAACACCAAUAUAAAUAAAGAAUGAGUUCAUUACAGUACCUUGAAGUGGUGUUUUGUUUUCUUUCGCUAACGGAGCUCACGAGAUUUUCUUGUUAAGUUUUGUGUUGUGAAGUUUUCAAGUUUUGGGUAAAGAUUUGAUGGAUUAUGGAACAAGGAGUGGCAAGAGCCUAAGAUUGGGGAUGCCCAAGGCACCCCAAGGUAAAUCUAAGGACACCAAAAAGCCUAAGCUUGGGGAUGCCCUGGAAGGCACCCCCUCUUUUGUCUUCGUUCAUCGGUAACUUUACUUGGAGCUAUAUUUUUAUUCACCACAUGAUAUGUGUUUUGCUUGGAGCGUCUUGUAUGAUUUGAGUCUUUUCUUUUUAGUUUACCGCAAUCAUCCUUGUUGUACACACCUUUUGAGAGAGACACACAUGAAUCGGAAUUUAUUAGAAUACUCUAUGUGCUUCACUUAUAUCUUUUGAGCUAUAUAGUUUUUGCUCUAGUACUUCACUUAUAUCUUUUAGAGCACGGUGGUGGUUUUAUUUUAUAGGAAUAAUUGAUCUCUCAUGCUUCACUUAUAUUAUUUUGAGAGUCCUUUAGAACAACAUGGUAAUUUGCUUUUAGGAAUAAUAAAAACUUUCAUAUAAGUGCAUUGAAUACUAUGAGAAGUUUGAUACUUGAUAAUUGUUUUGAGAUAUGGAGAUGGUGAUAUUAGAGUCAUGCUAGUUGAGUAGUUGUGAAUUUGAGAAAUACUUGUGUUGAAGUUUGUGAUUCCCGUAGCAUGCAUGUAUGGUGAACCAUUAUGUGAUGAAGUCGGAGCAUGAUUUAUUUAUUGAUUGCCUUCCUUAUGAGUGGCGGUCGGGGACGAGUGAUGGUCUUUUCCUACCAAUCUAUCCCCCCAGGAGCAUGUGCGUAGUACUUUGUUUCGAUAACUAAUAGAUUUUUUCAAUAAGUAUGUGAGUUCUUUAUGACUAAUGUUGAGUCCAUGGAUUAUACGCACCCUCACCCUUCCACAUUUGCUAGCCCCUCUAUUACCAUGCACUUUUCGCCGGUAUCAUACACCCACCAUAUACCUUCCUCAAAACAGCCACCAUACCUACCUAUUAUGGCAUUUCCAUAGCCAUUCCGGGAUAUAUUGCCAUGCAACUUUCCACUGUUCCGUUUGUUAUGACAUGCUUCAUCAUUGUCAUAUUGCCAUGCAUGAUCAUGUAGUUGACAUCAUAUUUGUGGCAAAGCCACCGUUCAUAAUUUUUUCAUACAUGUCACUCUUGAUUCAUUGCAUAUCCCGGUACACCGCUGGAGGCAUUCACAUAAAGUCAUAUUUUGUUCUAAGUAUUGAGUUGCAAUUGUUGAGUUGUAAGUAAAAAGAAGUGUGAUGAUCAUCAUUAUCAGAGCAUUGUCCCAAUGAGGAAAUGAUGAUGGAGACUAUGAUUCCCCCACAAGUCGGGAUGAGACUCAGGACGAAAAAAGAGAAAAGAGGCCAAAAGAAAAAAAAAGAAAGCCCAAAUAAAAAAACGAGAGAAAAAGAGAGAAGGGACAAUAUUACUAUCCUUUUUUCUAGACUUGUGCUUCAAAGUAGCACCAUGAUCUUCAUGAUAAAGAGUCUCCUAUGUUGUCACUUUCAUAAACUAGUGGGAAUUUUACAUUAUAGAACUUGGCAUGUAUAUUCCAGUGAUGGGCUUCCUCAAAUUGCCCUAGCUAUUCGUGAGCAAGCAAGUUGGAUGCACACCCACUUAGUUUGUUUUGUUGAGCUUUCAUACACUUAUAGCUCUAGUGCAUCCGUUGCAUGGCAAUCCCUAUUCACUCACAUUGAUAUCUAUUGAUGGGCAUCUCCAUAGCCCAUUGAUACGCCUAGUUGAUGUGAGACUAUCUUCUCCUUUUUGUCUUAUCCACAACCACCAUUCCAUUCCACCCAUAGUGCUAUGUCCAUGGCUCACGCUCAUGUAUUACAUGAAAGUUGAAAAAGUUUGAGAACAUCAAAAGUAUGAAACAAUUGCUUGGCUUGUCAUCGGGGUUGUGCAAGAUUGAAUAUUUUGUGUGAUGACGAUAGAGCAUAGCCAGACUAUAUGAUUUUGUAGGGAUAACUUUCUUUGGCCAUGUUAUGUUGAGAAGACAUGAUUGCUUAGUUAGUAUGCUUGAAGUAUUAUUAUUUUUAUGUCAAUAUUAAACUUUUAUCUUGAAUCUUUAGGAUCUGAACAUUCAUGCCAGAAUAAAUUAAAAAUAUGUUAGGAAGCAUUCCACAUCGAAAGUUCUGUUUUUGUCAUUUACCUACUCGAGGACGAGUAGGAAUUAAGCUUGGGGAUGCUUGAUACGUCUCCAACGUAUCUAUAAUUGUUUAUUGUUCCACGCUAUUAUAUAUUUUGUUUUGGACGUUUAAUGGGCUUAUUUAUACACUUUUAUAUUAUUUCUGGCACUAACCUAUUAACUGAAGGCCCAGCUCAAUUUGCUGUUUUUUGCCUAUUUGAGUGUUUCACAGAAAAAGAAUGUCAAACGGAGUCCAAACGGAAUGAAACCUUCAAGAGCGUGAUUUUUGGAACAAAUGUGAUCCAAAGGACUUAGAGUGGACGUCAAGCAAUCAACGAGGAGGCCACGAGGCAGGGGGCGCGCCUACCCCCUCGGCGCACCCUCCACCCUCGUGGGCCCCUCGUGGCUCCACCGACCUACUUCUUCCUCCUAUGUAUAACUACGUACCAUGAAAACAUCAGAGAGCACCACGAAAACCUAAUUCCACCGCCGCAACCUUCUAUACCCAAGAGAUCCCAUCUUGGGGCCUUUUCCGGAGCUCUGCCGGAGGGGGCAUUGAUCACGGAGGGCCUCUACACCAACUCCAUGGCCCCUCCGAUGAUGUGUGAGUAGUUUACCUCAGACCUUCAUGUCCAUAGUUAUUAGCUAGAUGGCUUCUUCUCUCUUUAGAUCUCAAUACAAAGUUCUCCUCAUUCUCUUAGAGAUCUAUUCGGUGUAAUCUUCUUUUGCGGUGUGUUUUUCAAGAUCCGAUGAAUUGUGGGUUUAUGAUCAAGAUUAUCUAUGAACAAUAUUUGAAUCUUCUCUGAAUUCUUUUAUGUAUGAUUGGUUAUCUUUGCAAGUCUCUUUGAAUAAUCAGUUUGGUUUGGCCUACUAGAUUGAUCCUUCUUGCAAUGGGAGAAGUGCUUAUGUUUGGGUUCAAUCUUGCGGUGCUCGAUCCCAGUGAUAGUAAGGGAAACGACAGGUAUUGUAUUGUUGCCAUCGAGGAUAAAAAGAUGGGGUUUGUAUCAUAUUGCAUGAGUUUAUCCCUCUACAUCAUGUCAUCUUUCUUAAAGCGUUACUCUGUUCUUAUGAACUUAAUACUCUAGAUGCAUGCUGGAUAGCGGUCAAUGUGUGGAGUAAUAGUAGUAGAUGCAGGCAGGAGUCGGUCUACUUGUCACGGACGUGAUGCCAAUAUACAUGAUCAUACCUAGAUAUUCUCAUAAUUAUUCACUUUUCUAUCAAUUGCUCAAUAGUAAUUUGUUCACCCACCGUAAUAAUUAUGCUAUCUUGAGAGAAGCCACUAGUGAAACCUAUGGCCCCUGGGUCUAUUCUCCAUCAUACAAGUUUCCAAUCUAUUUUAUUUUGCAAUCUUUACUUUUAAUCUAUAUCAUAAAAAUACCAAAAAUAUUUAUCUUAUUAUUAUUAUCUCUAUCAGAUCUCACUCUUGCAGGUUGCCGAGAAGGGAUUGACAACCGCUUUAUCGCGUUGGUUGCGAGGUUCUUAUUUGUUUGUGUAGGUACGAGGUGACUCGCGCGAGGUCUCCUACUGGAUCAAUACCUUGGUUCUCAAAAACUGAGGGAAAUACUUAUGCUGCUUUGCUGCAUCACCCUUUCCUCUUCAAGGGAAAACCAAUGCAUGCUCAAGAGGUAGCAGUGACUAACACCCAAAGGGUUUACUAGAGUCAAUAAUCUAGUUCGCAUCGCUAUGUGUUUAACACCCAAAGAGUGAUCAUGUUUUGAUUGUGAGAGAAACUUAGUCAACGGGUCUGCCACAUUCUGAGCCGUAUGUAUUUUGCAAAUUUUCUAUGUCUACAAUGCUUUGCACGGAGCUACUCUAGCUAGUUGCUCCCAUUUUCAAUAUGUAUCUAGACUGAGACUUAGAGUCAUCCAUAUCGGUGUCAAAGCUUGCAUCGAUGUAACUCAUUACGACGAACUCUUUGUCACCUCCAUAACCGAGAAACAUUUCAUUAUUCCACUAAGGAUAUUUUUGACCGCUAUCUAGUGACCCACUCCUGGAUCACUAUUGUACCCUCUUGCCAAACUUAUGGUGAGGUACACAAUAGGUCUGGUACACAGCAUAGCAUACUUUAUAGAACCUAUGACUAAGCCAUAGGGAAUGACUUUUCAUUCUCUCUCUAUUUUCUGCCGUGUCGGGUUUUAAGUCUUUACUCAACUUCACACCUUGCAAAACAGGCAAGAACUCCUUCUUUGACUGUUCCAUUUUGAAUUUACUUCAAAAUCUUGUCAAGGUAUGUACUCAUUGAAAAUAUAUCAAGCGUCUUGAUCUAUCUCUAUAGAUUUUGAUGCUCAAUAUGUAUGUCGCUUCAUCGAGGUAUUCCUUUGAAAAACUCCUUUCAAACACUCCUUUAUGCUUUCAAGAAAAUUCUACAUUAUUUCCGAUCAACAAUAUGUCAUUCACAUAUACUUAUCAGAAA